This is a long non-coding RNA of Clupea harengus (Atlantic herring), 2191 nucleotides long. NCBI's taxonomy places the organism in Eukaryota, Metazoa, Chordata, Actinopteri, Clupeiformes, Clupeidae. The record is from Ensembl.
UGUGUGUGUGUGUGUGCGCGCGCACGCUUAUGUUUGUCAUCGGGCUGCGCUUCCUAGUGCUAACACCGCUGCACCCCUCUUCUUAUAGGCCACUGCGAACUCUACUCUGAGCAAGUGAAUGCUAUAUCACAGCUGAUAAACCGUGUAUGUUGCCAUUCAAAAAUAGUCUGUUUGUUUGCCUUCCAAAAGCCAAUUGCAGGACAUCUGUAAGGUACGUCCUUUUUAAGCUUAAAGGUUGUCUUUGUAGGUUGGGUUUAACCAUUUACUCUAAGUUGCCAUUGUAAUGUUUUGAUGCCUCAAAGCAUUUUACAUUGGUGCGCGAAAGCUGUUUUUACAGUUAUAGCCUGCUUAUAUCGCUAGCUAUCGCUACAUAUCUUCUGUAUCAUGUUCGAUGCUUGAUACAAACCUUAGAAGGUGCAGUAAGUCAAGGGUUUUUCUGUCGUUGUUUUUUUUACAUGUCUACAUAGCAUUGCAUUCCACCUACACCCCUCCACCCCAACACAUCCCCACAUACACAGGCAUAUAAAUGACCUAGACACACACACACACACACACACACACUCUCCUACUAGUCCCGCCUUGGCACUGUAAUUACCACGGCAACUCAUCACCAAAGCCUUCCAAAGGUUCCAGAUGACCUACUGCUGCACAAGGGAGGAGACACAGCUGUAUAUUGCGAUGCGUUAUCUCCGCUCAAAGGACGUUAUGGUUUAACAGUUAUAUUGAUCGAGGGACUAAGACUUCCAAAUGAAUGUAAUGAUGGUGUAUUCCUUAGGGUGGGAUGUCUGUGUGCCAUUUAAAGUUUAUGCUAUGAUAUUAUAGCGGUUACUAAUUUGAAUUAUAUGCAAAGUGUAUUCUUUUGGUUGAGAGGAAAUAAUAUUUGUACUAUGUAAGUGAUUUGAAAAACACUAUAGAGCUACUCACAUGGAAAGUUAAUUAUUGUAUGAUUGUAAUUGAAGCCAUUAUUGCCUAUUCCCAUUUAGAAUUUUUCCAGUAGGCCUACCUAACAGAGAUGCUUUGGACCUGAGUUCUUUCUAAAACAAAAUAACUCUUUGAAAAAUUCCUUGAGUACAGCUCCACUGUCUAUUGAAGAAAAAUACCAUCGCUGUUUGUCUUUUGAAGUAGUCACGGAAACGGUCUCUGUUUACUCUUCCUCUCACAUUUAAUGAAGUGUCGUGGAUGUAGUGCUGCCUUUGUACUGUGCUUCGCUGAUCUUAUCUUAAAAACAAAACAAAAAAAGCUGUAUCCGGCACUCGCCAUGGGUGUUCAGAGGGUGGACAAUGAGAGCUUUGCUCUGAAGUACGUUACCCCUACCUCGUACAAGUCAAGAACAUGAGACCAUCACACUUGCUCUUUUAUGAUGUUCACUCAUAGGUUAUAGAGUCUCAGACGACCACACACGCAGUCUGGCUGUGGUCUGUGAAGUGAAGGUUUCCCACACUAUCGAGUUUUGUUUCGUUUUUUAUUUUUAUUUCUACAGACCGCAUAGACUGCACACUACACAUGUUCUACACAGGGCUUGUUUACAUGGAGUGUCAAACAUACUCUCUCCUCUUUUUGUAACUGAAAUCUGAUAAUCUGUCAUUUUAAACUAAACAUGAACAUGUCCAAGGGUGACCUCCUAAAGCUAAAACCUGUUUGCGCCUUAAAUGACUCACUAGUGGUACGAAUCUUUUUUUUUUUUUUUUGCUGGUUCACUAAGCAGUGAUCGUGAAAACUGUGUGCUAGAGAGACAAAAAGAGUUAUAUUAUUACAUGAAGAAAAUUAUUUGUAUCGCGAGGUGACAUUAUGGAAAAAAAAAAAAUAAAUGGACUGAUCUACUUUGAAAUGAUUCCGGAACUUUUCUAGAGCCAAAUAGAAACAGUUGCUAGUCAUGUGCCAGAGUGGUGCGUGACUGGUCUGCUGAAGUGAGGUUGUAGCAGUUUAGGGAAACUGUUAUAUCAAAUGAAUAUAUCUUUGUCUAUGUUCUCUUCAAGUGUUGAAAAUACUUUUGUUUGCAGGCCUUGCGUGUACAAUUUACUUUUUUUUUUGCUAUGUCCUACCUUGUAUAGGUCUAAUGAAGGACUGCAAGGUGUUGAAAAAAAAAUGGUAUUCUGCUGGCUUUGUAAUUAUAAUUCAUAAAGUGAUUUAAAUAAAGACUUCUUAUUGAAUAUGCUUGGGUUGUGGAGCUGUUUUAAAAGGCAUAUGGAAG